CCUACGGGAGGCAGCAGUGGGGAAUAUUGGACAAUGGGGGGAACCCUGAUCCAGCGACGCCGCGUGAGUGAAGAAGUAUUUCGGUAUGUAAAGCUCUGUCAGCAGGGAAGAAAGCAAUGACGGUACCUGACCAAGAAGCCCCGGCUAACUACGUGCCAGCAGCCGCGGUAAU
RNAcentral lists this ribosomal RNA (172 nucleotides) under uncultured bacterium. RNAcentral describes it as "partial 16S ribosomal RNA". It matches the Rfam family "Bacterial small subunit ribosomal RNA", at positions 338 to 524 of the family's 1533-position model. The record is from RNAcentral.